Molecule: ribosomal RNA, 338 nt
Filed under: uncultured Nitrospirota bacterium
Lineage: Bacteria; Pseudomonadati; Nitrospirota
Description: bacterial SSU rRNA
Rfam family: Bacterial small subunit ribosomal RNA
Source: RNAcentral
AGUGAACGCUGGCGGCGUGCCUAACACAUGCAAGUCGAACGCGAAAGUCCCGCAAGGGAUGAGUAGAGUGGCAGACGGGUGAGUAAUGCAUAGGUAAUCUACCCUUGAGUGGGGGAUAACUCCGGGAAACCGGUGCUAAUCCCGCAUAACUUCCUGAUGCGUAAGUAUUGGGAUCAAAGGGGGGAGUCCUUCGGGACCGUCUCGCUUAAGGAUGAGCCUAUGUCCUAUUAGCUAGUUGGUGAGGUAAUGGCCCACCAAGGCUUUGAUGGGUAGCCGAGCUGAGAGGCUGAUCGGCCACACUGGAACUGAAACACGGUCCAGACUCCUACGGGUGGCAG